RNAcentral lists this microRNA precursor (136 nucleotides) under Gossypium hirsutum (cotton). Its description in RNAcentral is "MIR7502 microRNA precursor family". It matches the Rfam family "MIR7502 microRNA precursor family". The record is from Rfam by way of RNAcentral. Lineage: Eukaryota; Viridiplantae; Streptophyta; Magnoliopsida; Malvales; Malvaceae.
UAUUAAAAAUGUUAUCUAUUUGUAUUAUUAAAAACUGGCCUGACUAACGAAAUAACCAGAUAGUGAGACAUGACGUGCCAUGUGUACCUUAUAGGGAUCAGUUUUUAACAACAGAAAUUGAUAAAAUUUAUUAAAA